GUCUCAGUAGCUCAAUUGGUAAGAGCGUCGCAUGCCUAAUGCGAAGACGUGGGCUCGAAUCCCACCUGCGACA
Non-coding RNA from Dermacentor andersoni, 73 nucleotides. NCBI's taxonomy places the organism in Eukaryota, Metazoa, Arthropoda, Arachnida, Ixodida, Ixodidae. The record is from the annotation of a RefSeq genome assembly.